UGCUGGGGGGAUUAGUGGCGAACGGUGAGUAACACGUGAGUAACCUGCCCUUGACUCUGGGAUAAGCGCUGGAAACGGCGUCUAAUACCGGAUACGAGCUUCAGCCGCAUGGCUAGGAGUUGGAAAGAAUUUCGGUCAAGGAUGGACUCGCGGCCUAUCAGCUAGUUGGUGAGGUAAUGGCUCACCAAGGCGACGACGGGUAGCCGGCCUGAGAGGGUGACCGGCCACACUGGGACUGAGACACGGCCCAGACUCCUACGGGAGGCAGCAGUGGGGAAUAUUGCACAAUGGGCGAAAGCCUGAUGCAGCAACGCCGCGUGAGGGAUGACGGCCUUCGGGUUGUAAACCUCUUUUAGUAGGGAAGAAGCGAAAGUGACGGUACCUGCAGAAAAAGCACCGGCUAACUACGUGCCAGCAGCCGCGGUAAUACGUAGGGUGCAAGCGUUGUCCGGAAUUAUUGGGCGUAAAGAGCUCGUAGGCGGUUUGUCGCGUCUGCUGUGAAAUCUGGGGGCUCAACCCCCAGCCUGCAGUGGGUACGGGCAGACUAGAGUGCGGUAGGGGAGAUUGGAAUUCCUGGUGUAGCGGUGGAAUGCGCAGAUAUCAGGAGGAACACCGAUGGCGAAGGCAGAUCUCUGGGCCGUAACUGACGCUGAGGAGCGAAAGCGUGGGGAGCGAACAGGAUUAGAUACCCUGGUAGUCCACGCCGUAAACGUUGGGAACUAGAUGUGGGGACCAUUCCACGGUCUCCGUGUCGCAGCUAACGCAUUAAGUUCC
Molecule: ribosomal RNA, 774 nt
Filed under: Frigoribacterium faeni
Lineage: Bacteria; Bacillati; Actinomycetota; Actinomycetes; Micrococcales; Microbacteriaceae
Description: bacterial SSU rRNA
Rfam family: Bacterial small subunit ribosomal RNA
Source: RNAcentral